GGAGAAGUAGCGAAGAGGCCGUAACGCGCUUGACUCGAAAUCAAGUUGUCGGGAAACCGGCACGUGGGUUCGAAUCCCACCUUCUCCG
This is a transfer RNA of Aerococcus urinae, 88 nucleotides long. It matches the Rfam family "tRNA". Rfam says of the family: Transfer RNA (tRNA) molecules are approximately 80 nucleotides in length. Lineage: Bacteria; Bacillati; Bacillota; Bacilli; Lactobacillales; Aerococcaceae. The record is from Rfam.